CCGAGGUGGGCGGAUCACGAGGUCAGGAGAUUGAGACCAUCCUGGCUAACACGGUGAAACCCCGUCUCUACUAAAAAUACAAAAAAAUUAGCCGGGCAUGGUGGCGGGCGCCUGUAGUCCCCGCAACUUGGGAGGCUGAGGCAGGAGAAUGGUGCGAACCCGGGAGGCAGAUCUUGCAGAGAGACGAGAUCGUGCCACUGCACUCCAGCCUGGGCGACAGAGCAAGACUCCGUCUCAAAAUAAACAACAAACAAACAAAUAUGGAACAUUCUGAUAUGAAUAAGACACUUGCUCACUUCUCAAUUCCUUGGUGUCCAGGCUCCCGCACAAAUGAACCAUGUUCUUCGCCUAAGUCAUUUAUGGAACAUCUGCUUUCGGUUUAGCAUCAGUUUCUGUGUGAGGGUUGGAGGCUGACUUUGGUGGUGAUCUUGCUCCAAAUGAUAGAACUACAUCCUGUCAUGAAGAGAAGUUUGUCUUCUCGAUAAAGCCAAGUAGCUAACAGAGAUGGUCACCCCAAUUACCAGACCUUGCAUUCUGAUGAACCAACUGACACCAACCAGACUUGUGUCCCAUACCAAGGAACUCACUCAACUGGUCCUGUGAACCCCACCCAGAAACUGAUUCAGCACACAAAGACAGGUGGAGUCUCACUCUGUUGCCCAGGCUGGAGUGCAGUGGUGCAAUCUCAGCUCACCACAACCUCUCCCUCAUUGGUUCUAGCGGUCCUCCUGCCUCCACCUCCCAAGUAGCUGGGAUUACAAGCAUGUGCCACCACUCCUGGCUACUUUUUGUAUUUUUAGUAGAGACGGGGUUUCACCUUGUUGGCCAGGCUAGUUUUGAACUUCUGACCUCAAGUUAUCUACCGCCUCAGCCUCCCAAAGUGCUGGGAAUACCGGUGUAAGCCACCAUGCCCAG
Long non-coding RNA from Pan troglodytes (chimpanzee), 915 nucleotides. RefSeq lists it as uncharacterized. NCBI's taxonomy places the organism in Eukaryota, Metazoa, Chordata, Mammalia, Primates, Hominidae. The record is from RefSeq and is a predicted model, not a curated record. The transcript has 5 exons.